RNAcentral lists this ribosomal RNA (253 nucleotides) under uncultured bacterium. Its description in RNAcentral is "partial 16S ribosomal RNA". It matches the Rfam family "Bacterial small subunit ribosomal RNA", at positions 524 to 776 of the family's 1533-position model. The record is from RNAcentral.
GACGGAGGAUGCAAGCGUUAUCCGGAAUGAUUGGGCGUAAAGCGUCCGCAGGUGGCAGUUCAAGUCUGCUGUUAAAGACCGGGGCUUAACUUCGGAAAGGCAGUGGAAACUGAACAGCUAGAGUAUGGUAGGGGCAGAGGGAAUUCCUGGUGUAGCGGUGAAAUGCGUAGAGAUCAGGAAGAACAUCGGUGGCGAAGGCGCUCUGCUGGACCAUAACUGACACUCAGGGACGAAAGCUAGGGGAGCGAAUGGG